Non-coding RNA from Epinephelus lanceolatus (giant grouper), 429 nucleotides. Lineage: Eukaryota; Metazoa; Chordata; Actinopteri; Perciformes; Serranidae. The record is from RefSeq and is a predicted model, not a curated record.
AUUUUUCCCUUUUACUGCCUGAUCACCUGUUUUUGGACCCUGUCUGCCUGUUUUUUGGACUCUGGAUUCCCUGCCUGCUCCUUGUCGGAUUUGUUUGCUGAUGCAUCUUCAAAAUCAACCCAGAUCAAGGGACCAAAGUGAAGAGAAAAGAAAAGGGACGCCAGUAUGCGGUCAACCCAAGGGUGCUGAGCCUCAUCUCCAAAAUUGCCAAUUUUGAAUGGACAGAGUAACAGGACACCAGUACGAUCCAAUGGCUGGCCCAGGACAUGAGCUUGAAGUCAGUGACAUAACAGCAGACCGGGACAUGAAGAAUCUGUGUAGCAAAAAGCGCUGUACUUUUACAGUCAUAUAAACAAAGGAAACUUGCCAGCUACUCUUCUUUUUUUUCUACCAAAGUUUAUUCUAUUGUUAAAUUUAGCAAAUUGUUUC